AUUGAACGCUGGCGGCAGGCCUAACACAUGCAAGUCGAGCGAGAGGAGGACGGGUGAGUAAUGUAUGGGGACUGCCCGAUAUAGGGGGAUAACUACGAGAAACGGUGGAUAAUGCCGCAUACUAGCGGAUAACCCAUAUGGGAUUAGCUAGUUGGUGGGGUAAAGGCUCACCUAGGCGACGAGCUCUAGCUGGUCUGAGAGGAUGAUCAGCCACACUGGGACUGAGACACGGCCCAGAUCCCUACGGAGGCAGCAGUGGGGAAUAUUGCACAAUGGGCGCAAGCCUGAUGCAGCCAUGCCGCGUGUAUGAAGAAGGCCUUAGGGUUGUAAAGUACUUUCAGCGGUGAGGCGUUACCCGCAGAAAAAGCACCGGCUAACUCCGUGCCAGCAGCCGCGGUAAUUC
RNAcentral lists this ribosomal RNA (403 nucleotides) under uncultured bacterium. Its description in RNAcentral is "partial 16S ribosomal RNA". It matches the Rfam family "Bacterial small subunit ribosomal RNA", at positions 30 to 526 of the family's 1533-position model. The record is from RNAcentral.